RNAcentral lists this ribosomal RNA (293 nucleotides) under uncultured bacterium. RNAcentral describes it as "partial 16S ribosomal RNA". It matches the Rfam family "Bacterial small subunit ribosomal RNA", at positions 775 to 1067 of the family's 1533-position model. The record is from RNAcentral.
GGAUUAGAUACCCUGGUAGUCCACGCCGUAAACGAUGUCAACUAGCCGUUGGGGAACUUGAUUCUUUAGUGGCGCAGCUAACGCACUAAGUUGACCGCCUGGGGAGUACGGCCGCAAGGUUAAAACUCAAAUGAAUUGACGGGGGCCCGCACAAGCGGUGGAGCAUGUGGUUUAAUUCGAUGCAACGCGAAAAACCUUACCAUCUCUUGACAUCCUGCGAACUUGGUAGAGAUACCUUGGUGCCUUCGGGAGCGCAGUGACAGGUGCUGCAUGGCUGUCGUCAGCUCGUGCCG